RNAcentral lists this ribosomal RNA (468 nucleotides) under uncultured bacterium. Its description in RNAcentral is "partial 16S ribosomal RNA". It matches the Rfam family "Bacterial small subunit ribosomal RNA", at positions 28 to 507 of the family's 1533-position model. The record is from RNAcentral.
GACGAACGCUGGCGGCGUGCUUAACACAUGCAAGUCGAACGGAAAGGCCCUGCUUUUGUGGGGUGCUCGAGUGGCGAACGGGUGAGUAACACGUGAGUAACCUGCCCUUGACUUUGGGAUAACUUCAGGAAACUGGGGCUAAUACCGGAUAGGAGCUCCUGCUGCAUGGUGGGGGUUGGAAAGUUUCGGCGGUUGGGGAUGGACUCGCGGCUUAUCAGCUUGUUGGUGGGGUAGUGGCUUACCAAGGCUUUGACGGGUAGCCGGCCUGAGAGGGUGACCGGCCACAUGGGGACUGAGAUACGGCCCAGACGCGUACGGGAGGCAGCAGUGGGGAGUAUUGCACAAUGGGCGGAAGCCUGAUGCAGCAACGCCGCGUGCGGAAUGACGGCCUUCGGGUUGUAAACCGCUUUCGACUGUGACGAAGCGGGAGUGACGGUAAUGAGUAAAGAAGCACCGGCUAACUACGUG